GAUGAACGCUGGCGGCGUGCCUAAUACAUGCAAGUCGAGCGAACAGACGAGGAGCUUGCUCCUCUGACGUUAGCGGCGGACGGGUGAGUAACACGUGGAUAACCUACCUAUAAGACUGGGAUAACUUCGGGAAACCGGAGCUAAUACCGGAUAAUAUAUUGAACCGCAUGGUUCAAUAGUGAAAGACGGUUUUGCUGUCACUUAUAGAUGGAUCCGCGCCGCAUUAGCUAGUUGGUAAGGUAACGGCUUACCAAGGCAACGAUGCGUAGCCGACCUGAGAGGGUGAUCGGCCACACUGGAACUGCGACACGGUCCAGACUCCUACGGGAGGCAGCAGUAGGGAAUCUUCCGCAAUGGGCGAAAGCCUGACGGAGCAACGCCGCGUGAGUGAUUAAGGUCUUCGGAUCGUAAAACUCUGUUAUUAGGGAAGAACAAAUGUGUAAGUAACUAUGCACGUCUUGACGGUACCUAAUCAGAAAGCCACGGCUAACUACGUG
RNAcentral lists this ribosomal RNA (497 nucleotides) under uncultured bacterium. Its description in RNAcentral is "partial 16S ribosomal RNA". It matches the Rfam family "Bacterial small subunit ribosomal RNA", at positions 28 to 507 of the family's 1533-position model. The record is from RNAcentral.